UACGUAGGGGGCAAGCGUUGUCCGGAUUUAUUGGGCGUAAAGAGCGUGUAGGCGGCCGUACAGGUCAGCUGUGAAAACUCGAGGCUCAACCUCGAGACGUCGGUUGAAACCGUACGGCUAGAGUCCGGAAGAGGAGAGUGGAAUUCCCGGUGUAGCGGUGAAAUGCGCAGAUAUCGGGAAGAACACCCGUGGCGAAGGCGGCUUCCUGGACAAUUGCUGACGCUCAGGCACGAAAGCGUGGGGAGCAAAAGGG
Molecule: ribosomal RNA, 253 nt
Filed under: uncultured bacterium
Lineage: Bacteria
Description: partial 16S ribosomal RNA
Rfam family: Bacterial small subunit ribosomal RNA
Source: RNAcentral